AAAUUUUCAAGCGGCGCCAUUCAUUUUGGUUGGGAUCUCUUUUCUUAAGAAAACAAAAAUAGAAAUAAGAGAGGAGUGGUGAAUGUUGGGAAGAGUGAUUUUUCUCCGCCACUGUUAAGUUAUUCGCAUCUACCAUCGUCUCAAUGUUCACUAUUAGUUUUCAAUUUUGAGAAAAGGAAAGUGGAAAAAGGUCCAUAAUUUCUUUUCUCAGCAUACUGUUCACCAACUUACCUUUAUUUUCUUUCUUCCAAAACUGCAUGAUACUCCCUCUAUACAAACUAACCACUAAUAUAUAUAAUAUUUAUUGUUAUAUAGUUUUUUAGAUAAUAGUUUUUUUUAAGUUUUCAUAUAUUUAUAUAUCGUUUAUUGUUGUAUAGAUUUUUAGAUAUUAAUUUUUACUUCAG
Molecule: long non-coding RNA, 404 nt
Filed under: Lathyrus oleraceus (garden pea)
Lineage: Eukaryota; Viridiplantae; Streptophyta; Magnoliopsida; Fabales; Fabaceae
Description: Pisum sativum (pea) long non-coding RNA (PSAT_LNC020632)
Source: RNAcentral